CCAAGUGCCGUCUGUUACCUGUUUAAUUCUGAGAAGCCCAGUUCUUUGGAAGAAUCUUCUAGUUGAUCAGUUUUGAUACUUAAUCCAGAAAACAAAGAGCUCAUUAAUGAUUUUUCUUUCCCUUUUAGGCAAAGGAGGAAACUUCCAAGCCAAAAACUGAUGAAAAAAACACAAGUUAAAGUUCACAUUUGGGUAUCUGCAUUUAAAAUCUUCAGCUGGUAGAUGGUGACUUUUGAAGAACAAAAGGCUUUGACAACAGAAAUUUUUCUGGGUGGCUUCUAGACAGUGGUAUUUGUUGAGUCUUUUGACAUCCUAAACAUUGGUUUGUUAUUCUUUUCCUGGAAAGAAACUGAAUCUGUCUGGUUUACCUGUGCUAUAUUGUACUGAGUAUCGAUAAACUUUGAAUUUUUAAAAAUUGCCUUCAGUUGGGAGAGAAAGGAACUUUAUAUUUCUAAUAGAUCCAUUUGAUAGUUUCUUAAAGCAACACAAAAAAAGGAAAAACCUUUGCAAACUUUUGCACAUUCUACACACAGUGCCUGUAAAUCUCAGUAGUAUUUUCAGUUUGCACUUCAUUUUUGUUGUUGUUAGCAUUUGGAAAACAGUGCUUUAAACCUUCUCAGUGUUCUGAUCUCAUGACCUUUCCUCUUUGGGCUUUUGAACUGUAUUUGACGUUUCUUUGGGUUAAUGUUUAUAAGUCAAACAUAAGAUAUUGUACAUUGGGCAUAUAUCUCCUCUUGGGCUGCUAAAAAUAAAUUAAUACUCGUAGAUGACCUGAACAGACCAGGAAGCACUGCACCCCUUUUCGGGUUGAACUCUUCCUUGUCAGAGGUGAGGACUUCUGCACCUUACAGCCAGCACAAAACACACAGACUUGAACCAAGUCAGGGGAGCAAAAUGCAGACUAUAUGCCACUGCAUAACAAGCUCCAAGAAUAAUAAAAUCUGCUUCUCAGAAUAUU
Molecule: long non-coding RNA, 958 nt
Organism: Hipposideros armiger (great roundleaf bat)
Lineage: Eukaryota; Metazoa; Chordata; Mammalia; Chiroptera; Hipposideridae
Exons: 2
Source: RefSeq, a predicted model, not a curated record